RNAcentral lists this ribosomal RNA (424 nucleotides) under uncultured bacterium. RNAcentral's name for it is "bacterial SSU rRNA". It matches the Rfam family "Bacterial small subunit ribosomal RNA", at positions 355 to 796 of the family's 1533-position model. The record is from RNAcentral.
UUAGGAAUAUUGGACAAUGGGCGCAAGCCUGAUCCAGCCAUGCCGCGUGAGUGAUGAAGGCCUUCGGGUUGUAAAGCUCUUUAGCCGAUGAUUAUAAUGACUGUAGUCGGAAAAUAAGCCCCGGCUAACUUCGUGCCAGCAGCCGCGGUAAUACGAAGGGGGCGAGCGUUAUUCGGAAUCACUGGGCGUAAAGCGUGCGUAGGCUGUUUCACAAGUUGGAAGUGAAAGCCCAGGGCUCAACCCUGGAAUUGCUUUCAAAACUGUGAGACUCGAGUCCGGGAGAGGAUAGCGGAAUUUCCAGUGUAGUAGUGAAAUACGUAGAUAUUGGAAGGAACACCAGUGGCGCAAGCGGCUAUCUGGACCGGUACUGACGCUGAGGCACGAAAGCGUGGGGAUCAAACAGGAUUAGAUACCCGGGUAGUCC